GUUUGCAUAACGUAGUCUUUAGUCCACAAUACCAUGCGGUUCUGCUUCUGCGACUAGCCCCUCAGUGACGCAUCCAGGCUCUGGGUCCCCCAGCCUCAAAGCCAGCAGAUGGAGCAGUGCGUUCAGUGAAAAGUUAAACUGUAAUCAUGGUGUGAAAGGACCCAGAACUUAAGAACUCCCUGAAAUAGUGACAACAUGGAUCCCGUGAAUCAGAAAUGAACCAGAAAAGAUGGAGGCGCAGCCCUGAGAUGACAGACAAGAGGGAACAUUUUAAACAACAGCCACAUGGCAGCACCAGGGACCAAGUCUGUAGAAGCUGGCUCAUCCGUCAUAAUAGGAAAAUGUUCAGAAAAUGAAAGAAAAAGAAAAGCCUGGCCUCCCUGGCCAUUUCAACUCCGUCUUAACAGUCUCACUUCCAGAAGAGGCAGUGUGCACACCAAUUUCCAGAGCAGUGUUCUGAGGCUCACACACCUCAAUAUGACGUUAUCUUCCUGAGAAUGAA
Molecule: long non-coding RNA, 502 nt
Organism: Hipposideros armiger (great roundleaf bat)
Lineage: Eukaryota; Metazoa; Chordata; Mammalia; Chiroptera; Hipposideridae
Exons: 3
Source: RefSeq, a predicted model, not a curated record